UGGGGAAUAUUGGACAAUGGGGGCAACCCUGAUCCAGCCAUGCCGCGUGGGUGAAGAAGGCCUUAGGGUUGUAAAUCCCUUUCACCGGGGAUGAUAAUGACAGUACCUGGUAAAGAAACCCCGGCUAACUCCGUGCCAGCAGCCGCGGUAAUACGGAGGGGGUUAGCGUUGUUCGGAAUUACUGGGCGUAAAGCGCGCGUAGGCUGACUAUUAAGUCAGGGGUGAAAUCCCGGGGCUCAACCCCGGAACUGCCUUUGAUACUGGUAGUCUAGAGUUCGAGAGAGGUGAGUGGAAUUCCAAGUGUAGAGGUGAAAUUCGUAGAUAUUUGGAGGAACACCAGUGGCGAAGGCGGCUCACUGGCUCGAUACUGACGCUGAGGUGCGAAAGUGUGGGGAGCAAACAGGAUUAGAUACCCCCGUAGUCC
RNAcentral lists this ribosomal RNA (424 nucleotides) under uncultured prokaryote. RNAcentral's name for it is "bacterial SSU rRNA". It matches the Rfam family "Bacterial small subunit ribosomal RNA", at positions 355 to 796 of the family's 1533-position model. The record is from RNAcentral.